This 427-nucleotide ribosomal RNA is filed under the name uncultured bacterium. RNAcentral describes it as "bacterial SSU rRNA". It matches the Rfam family "Bacterial small subunit ribosomal RNA", at positions 355 to 775 of the family's 1533-position model. The record is from RNAcentral.
UGGGGAAUAUUGGACAAUGGGCGAAAGCCUGAUCCAGCAAUGCCGCGUGUGUGAAGAAGGCCUUCGGGUUGUAAAGCACUUUAGGCAGGGAAGAAAAAAUCGGCGUGAAUAUCGCCGGUCUUGACGGUACCUGAGAAAUAAGCACCGGCUAACUCUGUGCCAGCAGCCGCGGUAAUACAGAGGGUGCAAGCGUUAAUCGGAUUUACUGGGCGUAAAGCGUGUGUAGGUGGUCAAGAAAGUCGGUUGUGAAAUCCCUGGGCUCAACCCGGGAACUGCUUCCGAUACUUCAUGACUCGAAUUCGGUAGAGGGAGGCGGAACUCCAGGUGUAGCGGUGAAAUGCGUAGAUAUCUGGAAGAACACCAAUGGCGAAGGCAACCUCCUGGGCCUGAAUUGACACUGAGACACGAAAGCGUGGGGAUCAAACAG